AUGUUGAUUGACUCUAGUACUUGUAUGUGUAUUUGCAAGCUUGGUGGAGAUAUUGCUUGUUAUUGCCAUGUUUGCUAUGUGCACCAUUCCUGUGAUGAUACUUUCAUCUUGCUUUGUGUUCGUGCUUGCGAUAUGUCAUGUGCAUUGUCUAUGCCUAGUAUUUGCUCACAUGACAUUAUUGCCAUGAUUUACUCUAGUGUGUUGCAUCUUCGCUCCACUAGUUUGCACGACUUGAUCUCUAUGCUUGCUCAUGUUGCAUCACCCAUGAUUCAUACUUGCCCAUUUCAUGCGGUUGAUGACAACCAUCUAUAUGCUUUGCACAUGAUUCAUAUUGCUUCUUGUCAUAUAUCUCCAUGUGUUGCCUCUCUCAUGCUAGAUGAUUUUCCAUGUAUUGAGUGCAACAAUGAUUCUCGUCUUGCUCAUAAAAUUGCCCCCAUAGCAGUCUCAUUUGGAGAUUUUGACAUAAUUCUUGUGAAGCAUGCUUGUCUUACCUCUUUUCACCAUAUACCUAGUGUCAUGAAUAUAGACAUUGUUGCACCUUAUUAUUCAUGCACUUGUACUUCUAACGGUUAUGUGCAAGAGAAGAGAACCAUCAUGAUGGAUGAUGUGUUUAUCUACCAUGCGCAUACUUUCUUUGUUUUGUUUUGUGCAUGUGUAGGAUACUUGGACUUUGUGUCGACUCCCACUUCACAUGAGUUAAGCAUUCGAGCUCUUGAGAGCGAGCCUCAUAUAUUCUACCACGACUCGCUUCUACACCACAUUUCCUACAACUUCGGCAUUGUAAAGAAUGCACAAGGACACGCUUUCAAGGUGACAUCCUUCUUGAGCUUGUAUACUGGGGAUCAUACUUCAUGUGUUGCUUGCACCAUUUGCAUGUAUGUUCGAGAUAUUGCUUUCAUCCAUGAUUGCCACAUUUCCAUGCUUCAUGACAUAUGUACCUUGUGUGUUGCAUCCAAUUCUUGGAAUACUUGCUACUAUCAUAUGGUUGGUUGCACCAAUAUCAUUUCUUCACAUAUGCCAUGUCCCUUUACUUGUCACAUGAUUCACUUGAUUGCCUCACACAUGAUGAAUAAUUGCUCUUUCUAUUGUGUGGUGUGCCACACUAUAUUCACUACACCCUAUGCACAUUAUGCUUGGAUUGUCUUGCACUUGACCCAUGUGUUUAGACACUUCAUUUUAUUUGGUGUUGUUAAUGAUUCUUAUGCCUACCAUAGAACUUUCAUUGAGCAAUUUGUGAAUGCUUGCUAUGACCUCGAGGUAGAUGCUUAUUCUCUUGUCACACAUAUUGGCAUCUCUACCUCACAUUUGCAUACUUGUCCCCAUAAUAUCUUUGUUUGUGCUUGA
This 1344-nucleotide ribosomal RNA is filed under the name Triticum aestivum (bread wheat). Its description in RNAcentral is "partial small subunit ribosomal RNA". The record is from RNAcentral. Lineage: Eukaryota; Viridiplantae; Streptophyta; Magnoliopsida; Poales; Poaceae.